AGUGAACGCUGGCGGUAGGCCUAACACAUGCAAGUCGAACGGCAGCACAGUAAGAGCUUGCUCUUACGGGUGGCGAGUGGCGGACGGGUGAGGAAUACAUCGGAAUCUACUUUUUCGUGGGGGAUAACGUAGGGAAACUUACGCUAAUACCGCAUACGACCUACGGGUGAAAGCAGGGGAUCUUCGGACCUUGCGCGAUUGAAUGAGCCGAUGUCGGAUUAGCUAGUUGGCGGGGUAAAGGCCCACCAAGGCGACGAUCCGUAGCUGGUCUGAGAGGAUGAUCACCCACACUGGAACUGAGACACGGUCCAGACUCCUACGGGAGGCAGCAGUGGGGAAUAUUGGACGAUGGGCGCAAGCCUGAUCCAGCCAUACCGCGUGGGUGAAGAAGGCCUUCGGGUUGUAAAGCCCUUUUGUUGGGAAAGAAAAGCAGCAGGUUAAUACCCCGCUGUUCUGACGGUACCCAAAGAAUAAGCACCGGCUAACUUCGUG
This 492-nucleotide ribosomal RNA is filed under the name uncultured bacterium. Its description in RNAcentral is "partial 16S ribosomal RNA". It matches the Rfam family "Bacterial small subunit ribosomal RNA", at positions 29 to 507 of the family's 1533-position model. The record is from RNAcentral.